This 270-nucleotide long non-coding RNA is filed under the name Gallus gallus (chicken). Its description in RNAcentral is "long non-coding RNA NONGGAT004221". Lineage: Eukaryota; Metazoa; Chordata; Aves; Galliformes; Phasianidae. The record is from RNAcentral.
CUCAUCUGCACAAGCUUCUAUCCCUGGGUGAACAUAUUAAAAAUUUCCUUUAAAAGGAAGAAGUUUUUUAUACAACAACGGCAAAAGCAUAAUGAAUCCAGAGAGCAUAUUGUUGCCUUCAACAUGUUAAAUUACAGAGCAUGCAAAAAUCUGUGGAAGUCUUGUGUAGAGCAUCACACGUUUUUUCAGGCGAAGAAGUCACUACCUCAUGAAAAAAAAAUAUUGUCACAUUAUUGGACCCUAGGUUCUAGAAAUCCAGCCAAGUAAGUA